UAAGACGGAGGGCGCAAGCGUUGUUCGGAAUUACUGGGCGUAAAGGGCAGGUAGGUGGCCUGUUAAGUCUUCUGUGAAAAUCCGGGGCUCAACCCCGCGAAAUGCAGGUGAAACUGGCAGACUUGAGAUCGGUAGAGGCUAGCGGAAUUCCUGGUGUAGCGGUGGAAUGCGUAGAUAUCAGGAAGAACACCUGUGGCGAAGGCGGCUAGCUGGGCCGAUUCUGACACUGAACUGCGAAAGCGUGGGGAGCAAACAGGAUUAGAUACCCUGGUAGUCCACGCCGUAAACGAUGGGCACUAGAUGCCGGGCAUAUAGACGUGUUCGGUGUCGUCGCUAACGCAUUAAGUGCCCCGCCUGGGGAGUACGGUCGCAAGGCUG
Molecule: ribosomal RNA, 378 nt
Filed under: uncultured Gemmatimonadota bacterium
Lineage: Bacteria; Pseudomonadati; Gemmatimonadota
Description: bacterial SSU rRNA
Rfam family: Bacterial small subunit ribosomal RNA
Source: RNAcentral